UACGUAGGGCGCAAGCGUUGUCCGGAAUUAUUGGGCGUAAAGAGCUCGUAGGCGGUCUGUUGCGUCCGCUGUGAAAACUCGGGGCUUAACCCCGAGCCUGCAGUGGAUACGGGCAGACUAGAGGUAGGUAGGGGAGAAUGGAAUUCCCGGUGUAGCGGUGAAAUGCGCAGAUAUCAGGAGGAACACCGGUGGCGAAGGCGGGUCUCUGGGCAACAACUGACGCUGAGGAGCGAAAGCGUGGGGAGCGAACAGG
RNAcentral lists this ribosomal RNA (253 nucleotides) under uncultured bacterium. RNAcentral's name for it is "partial 16S ribosomal RNA". It matches the Rfam family "Bacterial small subunit ribosomal RNA", at positions 524 to 776 of the family's 1533-position model. The record is from RNAcentral.